UGUCAUCACUGUAGGUCUGGGGUC
Molecule: microRNA, 24 nt
Filed under: Canis lupus familiaris (dog)
Lineage: Eukaryota; Metazoa; Chordata; Mammalia; Carnivora; Canidae
Description: cfa-miR-8790
Source: miRBase by way of RNAcentral